RNAcentral lists this long non-coding RNA (940 nucleotides) under Neogobius melanostomus (round goby). Its description in RNAcentral is "lncRNA (ENSNMLG00000024090.1)". Lineage: Eukaryota; Metazoa; Chordata; Actinopteri; Gobiiformes; Gobiidae. The record is from RNAcentral.
UAAAAGUGCGUACUCUUUUCAUUCCCCUUUGACCUCACGCAUGUGUCCGCCCACCGGCAUUCCACUUCCGUGUUUACAGAAGCCGCACGGCAGCACGGACAGUCGCGCAUACAACCGCGGACCUGCGCGCCUCGCUAUAAAACCGAUGGUAAGUCGACUUCCUCUCUUUUGAGCACUAGAGCUCCGUAGCUGUAGCUUAACAUAGCCUUCUGUUAUAGGCCGCAGUGUAGCUCUCUAGCUGAGCCUCUCUCCUCCAUAGGAGCUGCAUUUCAGCCCCAAAGUGACGCUGCUGUUUUGCUCCACCUCGCUACACGCUACUACUCUGCUGCGUUGCAGCGAUUGUUUACGCUGUGUUCUACCUAUACCAUCAUUCACCUAUCCUACCCGCUGCUGCAACGUUACGGCGCUCACUCUGCCGGCAUUUAGACCUCGCUAACACACUCCUGGCUGCGGUUCCAUUGUGGUCGUGUGGACCACUUUCCCUGGUCCAUCUACAAGUUGCAGGAGCUGACUACCGAGCCUAGUGGUGGUGGUGGAUCCCCUGGUGGUGGCCCCUUUUUGGUUUGUGGUGCACUUUCACUAUUUAUUGCUUUACUAUUUUGUUGUGUUUUGAUAUUAGUUAGGUUGUCCCACCCACGGUUGUCCCCCCUCCAUCCACAGGUAAACCCUGCUCCUAGGUUCUCACGUUUGUUUUGUAUGUAUAUAGAAAACUUGGUACCUUUUUAUAAACAAACGCAUUUGAUAACGUUAAAAUUUUAACUUUUCUACUAUCAAUAAAGCUCGUCAAAUCGAACUGAACAGUCUCCGGCCUCUCAGUAAAAGUGAACCUGUGUGCUGUACCCCAUAUUCUCCAGGCGAAAUUCCUGGUGUGGCGUUGUCGGCCCUGGUACAGUAGCAUUAAGCGCUGUACCUGGCAAUCGAUCAAAUUUACACCCCCCUC